CAGUCGCCACGGUAAUACGGAGGGUGCGAGCGUUAAUCGGAAUUACUGGGCGUAAAGCGUACGCAGGCGGUUUGUUAAGUCAGAUGUGAAAUCCCCGAGCUUAACUCGGGAACUGCAUUUGAAACUGGCAGGCUAGAGUCUCGUAGAGGGGGGUAGAAUUCCAGGUGUAGCGGUGAAAUGCGUAGAGAUCUGGAGGAAUACCGGUGGCGAAGGCGGCCCCCUGGACGAAGACUGACGCUCAGGUACGAAAGCGUGGGGAGCAAACAGGGUUAGAUACCCCGGUAGUCCCUGUCUCUUAUAC
This 301-nucleotide ribosomal RNA is filed under the name uncultured bacterium. Its description in RNAcentral is "partial 16S ribosomal RNA". It matches the Rfam family "Bacterial small subunit ribosomal RNA", at positions 509 to 807 of the family's 1533-position model. The record is from RNAcentral.